AAUGUCACAAGUUGGUAAACCCUUUGGAGGUCUAGCAUAUUCCUGUCCCAUUUUUAGCAAACAAGGUUCUCCCCAUAAAAAGGACAGAGAUAGGGAGAAGAAAAAGAAGCAAUGUCUAUAAUGCUCGACUGCCACGAGGAAUUAAUUCCUGUGCGUCUUCCCAAAACGUAGACUAGUCACGGGAUCCGCCCACCCGAGAUGGUGGCCACGGAUCAGUACGGGUGAGCGUGGGUGACUAACACAGCUCUGGGCAACAAGUACAGGCGAGGGAGAGAAUCAGAGAGAAAGUGAACGUAGAAAAACUAAUCAACAAACAUUUACAAGAAUCACAACUACGGAGAUGUGCGCAUAAUCCGGAAUCGAGU
Non-coding RNA from Pelobates cultripes (western spadefoot toad), 365 nucleotides. Lineage: Eukaryota; Metazoa; Chordata; Amphibia; Anura; Pelobatidae. The record is from the annotation of a GenBank genome assembly.